GGAUACUUGAGGAGGUGUUGAGUAUUAGUCCCAGCCUCCAUACGUCCUUGUCUUGUCUUGCUCUUUUUACUUGCUUUAAUUCAGACCAUUGAGUAGUUGGUGGCUGAUGCACUUGCAUCAAGAUCUGGGAUUUUAGUGGAGAAAAAGAGAAAUGCUCAAAGGGUAAAAGUGGAAACUAGAAAUCAGGAUCCUGUUGGGGAAUCCCUUCCUGCAGAUCCUGAUGCCUUCCAGCACACCGUUGCAGCGCAGCUGGUGCAUCACCAAAGGGUUCUCCAUGGCCCCAGGAGUCUUGGUUUCAUUGGGGAUGAUGCAGCGCACAAAGUGAGGUCACGGGAACUCACAAGGGAUGAGAGAAGCAUCUUGGUGCCCUCAAGUUUGAAACUGGAGCCAGCCAAGCUAUUGCGGGAGAUCUCAGAAUCACACUCUCAGCCCUGCUUCUCUCCUGGAGAGGUCCUGACCACGGUAUGAUGAAGAGAAUGGAUAAGUUCAGCCAGUCUGGUGGAAAGUGUGAAGCUUAGGUGUAAUGGUGGUGGCCAUGAACAGAGGGAAGGAGUGAGUGGUUAUACCUAAAACUGGUAUUUGGGAUCAACAUGUCUUAAGGUUAAGCCCAGUACGAGUUUAUCCCACAGCCCAAGGCAUGCCACUGCAUCUAUGGCCAAUGUUUGUGUAAGAACUGCUUCUGCGAACCCAAGUGCCCCCCCGGGCCCGAUAUGCAUCCAGGGGAGCAGAAAGAGUGGGGGCCACACAUUUUGACUUGAUUUACUGAAUUAUGAGGCCUUUUCAGUUUUUUGUAAUAUAUAAGUAGAUAGUCACAAUGUUAAUUUGAAUGAACACAUUUCAACACUUUCUGUACAUGUUGAUCCAGUAGUUUUGGAUAGUAAUCUCUUCAUCACCAGUCUCAUACUUGUAUUAACUU
Molecule: long non-coding RNA, 916 nt
Filed under: Gouania willdenowi (blunt-snouted clingfish)
Lineage: Eukaryota; Metazoa; Chordata; Actinopteri; Blenniiformes; Gobiesocidae
Description: lncRNA (ENSGWIG00000025647.1)
Source: RNAcentral